GGUGGAUCAGUGGUAGAGCACUUGCCUUGCAUGCAAGAGGCCCUGGGUUCAAUUCCUCAGCACCA
RNAcentral lists this transfer RNA (65 nucleotides) under Dipodomys ordii (Ord's kangaroo rat). It matches the Rfam family "tRNA". From Rfam's summary of the family: Transfer RNA (tRNA) molecules are approximately 80 nucleotides in length. Their secondary structure includes four short double-helical elements and three loops (D, anti-codon, and T loops). The record is from Rfam by way of RNAcentral. Lineage: Eukaryota; Metazoa; Chordata; Mammalia; Rodentia; Heteromyidae.